AUACUCACAAAGUGGAUGUGAAAUGUUGAUAGUAGAAUUCGUAUCACAGCCAGCUUUGAUGAGCUUAG
RNAcentral lists this microRNA precursor (68 nucleotides) under Mayetiola destructor (Hessian fly). RNAcentral describes it as "mir-2 microRNA precursor". It matches the Rfam family "mir-2 microRNA precursor family". From Rfam's summary of the family: The miRNAs are transcribed as ~70nt precursors (modelled here) and subsequently processed by the Dicer enzyme to give a ~22nt product. In this case the mature sequence comes from the 3' arm of the precursor. Lineage: Eukaryota; Metazoa; Arthropoda; Insecta; Diptera; Cecidomyiidae. The record is from RNAcentral.